UCGCAUAUAAUCAUUCAACCCGCUCGACUUUGUCAAGUGGCACAGCAAGAAACAGCACUGGCUUCUGGAAAUCAGAGAGCUGAGGAAUCAGAAGUUCGCUUCGUCCCCGAAGUACAUGCAAACGGUACCCAGGUCUCCCGAUUCCCAGAACAGGGCUCUCGAACAGGCUUCGCCUUUCUCUCUUCAGGACCCCGCGGCACCCGACCCCUCCUCCGAGGGUCUCCGCGCGAGGAAGAGGCGCUGCGGCGGGCCGGCCCCGGCUCCGAGGGAGGGGCGACGACAAAACCGUAGCAGCUGGGCACCGCCGACUCGACACGCACGGCGCUGCCUGCGACACCUGGCGGCGCCUUGCAGCCAGCGCCCGCCGCGCCGGGCCCGCGUGACGUCAACAGUCCGCGCCGCGGUCAGACCCCUGUGGGCUCCUCUCUAGGAAGGCGGGAGCGGCUCCCUCUCGGUGCUUCCUGCCCGGCCCAGAGCUGGGGGUUCAGCCCGACACCGGAGCCCCAGCUGCAGAAACAGCCGUAAACCCACCUCACCGCGCUCCUUCCCAGAAUUCCAGCUCGUCCUCUUUGACCUGCAUUGGCUUCACGGGACCUUGCCAGCCUUCAAGGCCCUCAUCACCUCUGCUGCAAAACUUCAUAUCUUACUGAGACUUGCUCAGGAAAUACUUGCACAUACAGGCUCCUCUUGAGUGUAUUCCUGAGAUGAAGGCAUGGGUGGCAGGGCACCUGAUACACUUACAGACAUUCUUACUGAUGUGCAAGCUCUGGGAAAUACAGUUGUCUACUGUACAAUCCAUAGGGGGCACUCAAUAAACACUGGAAAAAAAUGAA
Nyctereutes procyonoides (raccoon dog) is the source of this 833-nucleotide long non-coding RNA. RefSeq lists it as uncharacterized. The record is from RefSeq and is a predicted model, not a curated record. The transcript has 2 exons. Lineage: Eukaryota; Metazoa; Chordata; Mammalia; Carnivora; Canidae.